This 1618-nucleotide long non-coding RNA is filed under the name Paramuricea clavata. Lineage: Eukaryota; Metazoa; Cnidaria; Anthozoa; Malacalcyonacea; Plexauridae. The record is from RNAcentral.
CCUGACAUUAAUAAAUACGUAGUUUGCAUUGAAAUUAAUAAAUAUAGAGUGGUAACGAAACGUAUGAGAAUAAGAAUAAAAUAAAUUUUGACACACAAAUAGCCAUGCACCUGCAGAAUUAACAGCGUCUUCUAUCUUACAAGAUGAACAUUACCGCAAGUCAUGGCUGAAAAGUGUUCUUGAUUUUAACAAAAGCGUUUAGUGUUCACAAUAAAGUUCUGAACGAUUAGGAAAAGAUUAGCAUUUGUAUGUUGCGAAACGUCGGGAUGACCGUUCAAAAACCAUGACAAACGCAUUUUGCUUGUUGAAUUUAACCAUUUGGAACCAAGUAAAUGUGCAGCGGAAGCAAGCUGCGAUGAAAUUCUUGUCCAGGCAUAUCUAGAUCAAAAUUUCACUCAUAAUGGGAAAGGUCUAUUGUGAUUACUUUCUUAACUAUGUUUAUCCUAACCCACCCUGACAACUUUCCCUGUGGGAUGAAACCGGAGUUCCCAGAGAAAACCUACGACUUUCGGCAGAGCGUUGACAGACUCGGGGACGCCAGAACGAUGUGAAGGCAAGGGGGGCAGAUUUUCGUGAAAGGGCACUUUUGAAUUGAUAUAUACUAAGAGAUGUUUCCAAAACAUCGGGAGUUGAACUUCGCCUAAUCAUGUUUUCUAUUUAUUGGAUGAUAGGGGUGUGAGGGGGUUCUCCGCCAUGCGCUUGCGCUAUUCUUGAAGCUCGAUGACUGCAUUUCUUGCGUUUUCUGAAGCAAAUUCGUAAAGGAAUUGCACUAACAUUUCUGACAAUUCGCUAUUUCGCCAAGGCAAUCCUUUAAAUUGAAAGGGCACCUUUGCCCCCCUUGCCCCUCCUGGUAAAGGGCAACGGGGGCGGCUGCCCCUCCUGCCCCCCAGUUCCGGCGUCCCUGGACAGACUCCUUUCACAUGAGUCCAUACAGCGAGUCUCGAACUCACAAUCUCAGAGGUUUUCGGUGCUCGCUCUGACUGGGUGAGCCCAAGUAGCAAAGCGCCAUGAUGCACCCUACUAAACUCUUAGAGCCAGACAAAGGCAAACGGCAGGUUCGAACUUUCUUGGCAAAAUUUUCGUUGAACGUUUUCGUUUCAUAUUUUCAUUCUUGCGUCGAAAAAAUAAUUAUGUAUUUCAGUUUUAAAACAGCAAGUUCAUUUACUCUUUAUUGCCUGAUACCGUAAAAUUUUUCUUUGCCUGGCGUUUGCCGUUUGAGUAUAACGCAAAGCUUAAACUCUCUAAUAAUUCAUGAAGAAAACAAAUAAGAAAUCAAGGGCGUGCAGGAGUUUGUAUAUCUGAUACAGAAUCAUGCUGUUUUACAUAAACUUUAAGUUUAAGGUUACAGUACACCCUUUUUGGCGUUUUGUGGAAAAUCGCUACUGCGCGCUCAAAAUCAGUCCGAUUUUCAUCAAAUUUUUACCAAACGUUAGCCAGUGCAUGCAAAAUAUGAUAAAGUUGUUGAUAAACAAUAAAAUUAUAUAAGAAUUUUUUUCUGUGUUGGUGCUGUGUACUCAGGUGAAUAAUAUGUUUGCGAUGUUACUCUGAGUGCAUAUCCACACCGGGCGAGCUUGAAAAAUAUGCCCGGCCACGGUGGGAUUCGAACCUACGACCUUUG